CUGGCUGCUCUGCAUCCUGAUUGAGGUUCAGCACGUCUAUAUCCAAAGGAAAGCAUAUCACGGCUAAAACAAAUAUCAGCCUGCAUUUGCAGCAAAUUGGAGUUCUGGCCCACAAAGAUGGGUCUGGGAGUAUAUGCAGUGGAGAUUGUGUUUUGCCUCUUGAUCUAAUUGGCAGAGUCUAUCACACUUGAUAAGCCACAAAAGAUGCCCAUUUUUGUCUAUAAAAUUUCCACAACAGCUAUUUACUACUGUAGCAGUCAAAUUAAGGGCCAGCGGCUGGAAACUUAAUUGUGUCUAUAGAAUUCUCAUCGAGGGGUCCAGAAAGAACAAAUAUUAUUUGAUGAACUCCUGUCUAACACUGCCAUAGAGAAGUUUAAGAGCACUCGUGGAGAUUUUCAGCACAAAGGGAAUGGAGCAGCUCAGUACCUCAGUACUGCCCACGUAUCAGCAGGAGGAACAGAUAGAGCACUGGAGAAGCAUUCUUCCUGUUCAGAAAGUCCUGAUA
Struthio camelus australis is the source of this 505-nucleotide long non-coding RNA. RefSeq lists it as uncharacterized. The record is from RefSeq and is a predicted model, not a curated record. NCBI's taxonomy places the organism in Eukaryota, Metazoa, Chordata, Aves, Struthioniformes, Struthionidae.